UACGGAGGGGGCUAGCGUUUGUUCGGAAUUACUGGGCGUAAAGCGCACGUAGGCGGCUUUGCAAGUCAGAGGUGAAAGCCCGGGGCUCAACCCCGGAAUUGCCUUUGAGACUGCAUCGCUAGAAUUGUGGAGAGGUAAGUGGAAUUCCGAGUGUAGAGGUGAAAUUCGUAGAUAUUCGGAAGAACACCAGUGGCGAAGGCGACUUACUGGACACAUAUUGACGCUGAGGUGCGAAAGCGUGGGGAGCAAACAGG
Molecule: ribosomal RNA, 254 nt
Filed under: uncultured bacterium
Lineage: Bacteria
Description: partial 16S ribosomal RNA
Rfam family: Bacterial small subunit ribosomal RNA
Source: RNAcentral